This 254-nucleotide ribosomal RNA is filed under the name uncultured bacterium. RNAcentral's name for it is "partial 16S ribosomal RNA". It matches the Rfam family "Bacterial small subunit ribosomal RNA", at positions 524 to 776 of the family's 1533-position model. The record is from RNAcentral.
GACGUAGGGAGCGAGCGUUGUCCGGAUUCAUUGGGCGUAAAGGGUCCGUAGGCGGCUCAGCAAGUCGGGUGUGAAAUCUCCAGGCUCAACCUGGAGGGGCCACUCGAUACUGCUGUGGCUUGAGUCCAGUAGGGGAGCAUGGAAUUCCCGGUGUAGCGGUGAAAUGCGCAGAUAUCGGGAGGAACACCAGUGGCGAAGGCGGUGCUCUGGGCUGGAACUGACGCUGAUGGACGAAAGCGUGGGUAGCAAACAGG